UGCGUAGGCGGAUAAAUAAGUCAGUGGUGAAAUCUUUCGGCUCAACCGGGAAACUGCCAUUGAUACUGUUGAUCUUGAGUUCGGUUGAGGUAGGCGGAAUGUGUAAUGUAGCGGUGAAAUGCUUAGAUAUUACACAGAACACCAAUUGCGUAGGCAGCUUACUAGACCGACACUGACGCUGAGGCACGAAAGCGUGGGGAGCGAACAGGAUUAGAUACCCUGGUAGUCC
RNAcentral lists this ribosomal RNA (229 nucleotides) under uncultured bacterium. RNAcentral describes it as "partial 16S ribosomal RNA". It matches the Rfam family "Bacterial small subunit ribosomal RNA", at positions 568 to 796 of the family's 1533-position model. The record is from RNAcentral.